GGCUGGGGCGCCGCCGGCGCGCAUGCUCCCGCCGCACCUGCUCCCGCGGGUGCGCCCCGAAGCGCGGCAGACUCCGGGUCCGGUCUCAAGUGCGCGGCGGUGGAGGGGCGGCUGCAGUUUACUCCCGGGGAUGUCUCUAGCAGGAGCCCCGAAACCUCGCUCCCGCCAGCCUGCCCCGCCCCCUGCGCCGCGUCGAGGAGCGCUCACCCCGGCUUCACUCCUGCUCUCGGGGUUCACCUGCCUCCUCUGGAGUCCUCUUCGUCCCGCGACUCCUCUCAAUUUUGCGACCUCCUCUCCUCAAGGUGCCUCUUUGCAGCUCUAGACUUUGCUCCACGCGCGUCCGCAGAAGCCAUUUCAAAAUGAAAGAAGACUGUUUUCACCUGGACCCAACAAAUGUUCAGGAAGCCUGUUCCAGCUGCUGGAGACGAAGAAGGAAAGUGAAGGUACUAAUGGCAUACCCAUGCCGUCUCCAAGGUGAGAGACAGAGAAAAUGCAAAAGAGAAAAUUCAGAGAAAUGUGACUGCCAUUCAUCUCUGAUAUUUGGGACCCAGAAACUCCAGGGUUCAGCCCCAGCAUCUCACUGUGUACUUGUGUGUUUCCAGAGCAUGGAAAUGACUGCCUUAUCACGUUAAUUUGUUUCAGUGGCUUCAUUUGGACCAGGAUGGGUCCUUCAAAAAUGAACUCAGUGAUUUUCCAAGGUCCCAUUUCUCAUUGGACUUUACUUCCCUCUCAGCACCUUGCACAGUUCUUUGCACAGAAGAAGUGCUCAAAAAACAUUGCUGAAAUUAAAAUCACUUCAUCAUGUGCAAGGGGAGGCCAAGUGAAUGCUCAUCACGAAAGUCAUUCAAUACAAGCUUGACCACGAUGAGUGUUGGGCCUUCUGCAUUGAGGAUCCCAAGAUUUAUCCCUGUUUAUGGGUGUGGAGUGGCUGGGACCAAGGGUAGGCAUGUUAAAACCAUUGCCAGAACAGACCAUUACCAGCUGCUCAAGAAACACUGGAAGGUGACAAGGCUGAUAUGAGAAGAGUUGCCAUGUCUGCAGUUCAACCCUAAGAAGCUAUUUAUUAUUUCUUAUCCAUGUUUCCAUUAUCAUGUCUUUUGAUUUUUCUUUCUCCCUCUGCCUUCACUUAUCAUUGUCACAUUGAAAUAUGUGCAAGUGGGGAGUUCCCGUCAUGGCUCAGUGGUUAACAAAUCCAACUAGGAACCAUGAGGUUGCGGGUUCGAUCCCUGGCCUUGCUCAGUGGGUUAAGGAUCCAGUGUUGCCAUGAGCUGUGGUGUAGGUUGCAGACGCGGCUUGGAUCCUGCGUUGCUGUGGCUCUGGCAUAGGCCAGUGGCUACAGCUCCAAUUAGACCCCUAGCCUGCGAACCUCCACAUGCCGUGGGAGCGGCCCUAGAAAAGGCAAAAAAGAUUUUAAAAAAAGAAGAAAAAGAAAAAAGAAAUGUGUACAGGUAACCAGCCUCUUUGUCUGGGGUUAUAGACUUACUCUAAUCACCAUCCCAUUUCCCAAGCUAAAUAUUUUUUUGUAUUUUUUAAAUAUAUUUUUUUAUUUUUAAAUCAACCCUUUUUGUAUAGUCAAUUUACAGUGUUGUGUUAAUUUCUGCUGCACAAGCAAAAAGAUUCAGAUUAUAUAUACACACACACACACAUACGCAUGUGUGUGUUAUCUAGAUCUAUAUCUAUAUAUACACACUUUUUUUUUCUUUUUAUAUUCUUUUCCAUUGUGGUUUAUCGUAGGACAUUGAAUAUGGUUCUCUGCUCUGUGCUGGACAGUAGGACCUUGUCCCAAGCUAAUUUAACUUCCCCUCCUGCCCACCUUUUAUAUCUUUUUCCAUUAGUUUUGUCUCUGUUUAGUGCCAGCUCUUUGGACUCUGGCACAUAGAGUGACCCAGAGAGGCUCUUAAAUAGCUGUCUAGACACACAACUUGAUAGCCUCCAUCUUAAAAAAAAAUAAUACCUCUGAAUCUUACAUUGCCCUUCUGAAUCUUAGAUGACCUUACCACGUGUUCCAACUUAGCACAUCAAUCUUAAGACUCGUGCUGGCUUUUAUGAUAGAGUUCCAGUCCUGGGGCCAAUCUCGGCCCUCUGCUCUCAUCUUUCCACCACAAGCUUUAAUUUAAGCCUGAAAAUGAACUACCACCAAGAUAAAUGAAUAGCAAACAUGAAUCAAAAGGGGGGACUUUGACUUUGUCACUAACGGUCUUAAUAAUCACACUAAUUUGUCACGUGUACAGGUGCCCAUAGGCAAAGCAUCGUGCAAAGCAUCAUGAUUUGUGUUUCUUGAAUUGCUUCAUUGUCUCCUCAGCGGGCAAAUAAGUUCUUAUGCUCCACGUAUAUUUUACUACUUAUACUAUAUUCCAAGAAUAUUUUCAAAAUUUGAGGCAAUAAUCUUCUUAGUUAGAGGCUUUGGUCAACAUUUAUCCAGGUCUUUCUUUUUUAUUGUUGUUACAUUCCAUAGUAAACUAUGAGGAAAAAUUUUAAAUAGCAGAGUAUGCAAAUUAUAGUUGUACAAUACUGACCUUUUUUUUUUUUUUUUUGGUCAUACUGUCUAUGCCCCUGUAGUGUUUUUUCUAAGUGUUUCAUUUGGUCUUAAUAUCAUCUCUCACCCCCUGAAUAAUUAGUAUCAUUUAUUAUUUUAUUUUAUUUUAUUUUAUUUUAUUUUAUUUUUAUUUUUUAGCUGCACCCAAGGCAUAGAAGUUCAUGGGCCAGGGGUCGAAGCCAUGCCACAGCAGUGACCUGAGCCACUGCAGUGAUAACACUAGAUCCUUAACCACUAGGCCACAAGGGAACUCCAUUUUUCUUAUUUUAUAAAAAAAAAUGAUAAUCAUUUCUAUGGUUCUCAUUUGUUUUCUAUGUUUUGUUAUUGAUUAUCACUGUUUUCUGACAAUCUGGCCUUCAGGAUAUCCUACCUUAAAUAACCAGAUAUCUGACAGGAAAACAUUUUAGUGGCAAUUUGUUCAUAGAUCCUCAAAUAAAGAUAUGAUAAAGCAAAA
Molecule: long non-coding RNA, 2990 nt
Filed under: Sus scrofa (pig)
Lineage: Eukaryota; Metazoa; Chordata; Mammalia; Artiodactyla; Suidae
Description: lncRNA (ENSSSCG00035064089.1, ENSSSCG00055015354.1)
Source: RNAcentral